AAGUCGUAACAAGGUUUCCGUAGGUGAACCUGCGGAAGGAUCAUUAACGUAUCUACCCUCGGGGGGUGCCGUUGGCCCUGCUCCGGCAAAAACUGCCGUGCAGCGGGCUGCUGCCUCCCCGAACCACCACAAACCCCACUGUGCACCAUUCGCGGUGGAGGGUGCGGCGUGAGCCCACCUGAAGCCGUGGCAUUUACAGACGCCGUCUCAGAAAUGUCUCGCGGACUUGUUUCCGCCCAUAAACUUAACAACUUUCAACAACGGAUCUCUUGGCUCUC
This 278-nucleotide unclassified non-coding RNA is filed under the name fungal sp. Its description in RNAcentral is "partial internal transcribed spacer region". The stretch from base 1 to 46 matches the Rfam family "Eukaryotic small subunit ribosomal RNA", at positions 1786 to 1831 of the family's 1831-position model. The record is from RNAcentral. Lineage: Eukaryota; Fungi.